Molecule: ribosomal RNA, 1242 nt
Filed under: metagenome
Description: SSU rRNA
Rfam family: Eukaryotic small subunit ribosomal RNA
Source: RNAcentral
AAUCUCUUAACGAGGAACAAUUGGAGGGCAAGUCUGGUGCCAGCAGCCGCGGUAAUUCCAGCUCCAAUAGCGUAUAUUAAAGUUGUUGCAGUUAAAAAGCUCGUAGUUGAAUUUCGGGAUCAAUUUAUCGGUCGUGCCAAUGGUAUGAACUGGUACAAUUGGUUUCUCCCUUCUGACGAAGCAUGAUGUCAUUAAUUUGGUGUCGUGGGGAAUCAGGACUGUUACUUUGAAAAAAUUAGAGUGUUUAAAGCAAGCAUUAGCUUGAAUACAUUAGCAUGGAAUAAUGAAAUAGGACGUUUGAUCCUAUUUCGUUGGUUUCUAGGAUCGACGUAAUGAUUAAUAGGGAUAGUUGGGGGCACUAGUAUUCAAUUGUCAGAGGUGAAAUUCUUGGAUUUAUUGAAGACUAACUACUGCGAAAGCAUUUGCCAAGGAUGUUUUCAUUAAUCAAGAACGAAAGUUAGGGGAUCGAAGACGAUCAGAUACCGUCGUAGUCUUAACCAUAAACUAUGCCGACUAGGGAUCGGAUGAUGUUAAUUUUUUAAUGACUCAUUCGGCGCCUUACGGGAAACCAAAGUGUUUGGGUUCCGGGGGGAGUAUGGUCGCAAGGCUGAAACUUAAAGGAAUUGACGGAAGGGCACCACCAGGGGUGGAGCCUGCGGCUUAAUUUGACUCAACACGGGGAAACUCACCAGGUCCAGACAUAGUAAGGAUUGACAGAUUGAGAGCUCUUUCUUGAUUCUAUGGGUGGUGGUGCAUGGCCGUUCUUAGUUGGUGGAGUGAUUUGUCUGGUUAAUUCCGAUAACGAACGAGACCUUAACCUGCUAAAUAGCUAGGCUUAGCAUUGCUAGGUCGUCAGCUUCUUAGAGGGACUAUCGGUGUUUAACCGAUGGAAGUUUGAGGCAAUAACAGGUCUGUGAUUCCCUUAGAUGUUCUGGGCCGCACGCGCGCUACACUGAUGAAGUCAACGAGUUCACUCCCUUUGUCGGAAGACAUGGGUAAUCUUUUGAAACUUCAUCGUGCUGGGGAUAGAGCAUUGCAAUUAUUGCUCUUAAACGAGGAAUCCCUAGUAAGUACAAGUCAUCAGCUUGUGCUGAUUACGUCCCUGCCCUUUGUACACACCGCCCGUCGCUACUACCGAUUGAAUGGCUUAGUGAGGACUUCGGAUUGAGCUUCGGAAGCUGUAAAAGGCAUCCGAUUUUUAAAAAGUUGUUCAAACUUGGUCAUUUAGAGGAAGUAAAAGUC